AGCAGCCGCGGUAAUUCCAGCUCCAAUAGCGUAUAUUAAAGUUGUUGCAGUUAAAAAGCUCGUAGUUGAAUUUCGGGGUUAGUAGGUUGGUCAUGCCUCUGGUAUGUACUGGUCUCACUGAUUCCUCCUUCCUGAUGAGCCGUAAUGCCAUUAAUUUGGUGUUGCGGGGAAUUUGGACUGUUACUUUGAAAAAAAUUAGAGUGUUUAAAGCAGGCUCACGCUUGAAUACAUUAGCAUGGAAUAAUGAAAUAGGACGUUUGAUUCUAUUUUGUUGGUUUCUAGGACCGAUGUAAUGAUUAAUAGGGAUAGUUGGGGGCAUUAGUAUUCAAUUGUCAGAGGUGAAAUUCUUGGAUUUAUUGAAGACUAACUACUGCGAAAGCAUUUGCCAAGGAUGUUUUCAUUAAUCAAGAACGAAAGUUAGGGGAUCGAAGACGAUCAGAUACCGUCGUAGUCUUAACCAUAAACUAUGCCGACUAGGGAUCGGAUGAUGUUAAUUUUUUUAAUGACUCAUUCGGCGCCU
This 520-nucleotide ribosomal RNA is filed under the name uncultured Glomus. RNAcentral describes it as "SSU rRNA". It matches the Rfam family "Eukaryotic small subunit ribosomal RNA", at positions 569 to 1088 of the family's 1831-position model. The record is from RNAcentral. Lineage: Eukaryota; Fungi; Glomeromycota; Glomeromycetes; Glomerales; Glomeraceae.